UAAAUCAGAAGAAAAUACACAAGUAAAAUAAAUACAGAUUCGUAAGAAUAACGACCUUUAUCUUAGAUGCAAGGUGAUCAAUAAUAGUACAAGUCAAGUACCUCAUAAAAUAAGUUAUUUGGCACGCUAAAUGAAGGUUAUGAGGUUAGUAUUGUCGGACUGAGAUAUGAGGAAUUGCUAUUAAAUCCAAGGUUAUAACCAUAUUCACAGAAAUUGUAGAUACUACAGCAUCAUGAAUAUUCAGUAAUACAUUUAGGCACAA
Molecule: long non-coding RNA, 262 nt
Filed under: Mytilus galloprovincialis (Mediterranean mussel)
Lineage: Eukaryota; Metazoa; Mollusca; Bivalvia; Mytilida; Mytilidae
Source: RNAcentral